Molecule: transfer RNA, 96 nt
Filed under: Streptomyces olivaceoviridis
Lineage: Bacteria; Bacillati; Actinomycetota; Actinomycetes; Kitasatosporales; Streptomycetaceae
Description: tRNA-Pro
Source: RNAcentral
CCGCACAUGUGUGGCUGGUCAUCAGGCCCGCUCCCGGGAGGCGGGAACGGCGGUUGCCGACGUCGCCGCCGGCAGGCUCCACUUCUGCUGCUCGGA